Molecule: ribosomal RNA, 577 nt
Filed under: uncultured bacterium
Lineage: Bacteria
Description: partial 16S ribosomal RNA
Rfam family: Bacterial small subunit ribosomal RNA
Source: RNAcentral
UGGGGAAUUUUGGACAAUGGGCGAAAGCCUGAUCCAGCAAUGCCGCGUGUGUGAAGAAGGCCUUCGGGUUGUAAAGCACUUUUGUCCGGAAAGAAAUCCUUGGCUCUAAUACAGUCGGGGGAUGACGGUACCGGAAGAAUAAGCACCGGCUAACUACGUGCCAGCAGCCGCGGUAAUACGUAGGGUGCAAGCGUUAAUCGGAAUUACUGGGCGUAAAGCGUGCGCAGGCGGUUUGCUAAGACCGAUGUGAAAUCCCCGGGCUCAACCUGGGAACUGCAUUGGUGACUGGCAGGCUAGAGUAUGGCAGAGGGGGGUAGAAUUCCACGUGUAGCAGUGAAAUGCGUAGAGAUGUGGAGGAAUACCGAUGGCGAAGGCAGCCCCCUGGGCAAUACUGACGCUCAUGCACGAAAGCGUGGGGAGCAAACAGGAUUAGAUACCCUGGUAGUCCACGCCCUAAACGAUGUCAACUAGUUGUUAGGGAUUCAUUUCCUUAGUAACGUAGCUAACGCGUGAAGUUGACCGCCUGGGGAGUACGUCGCAAGAUUAAAACUCAAAUGAAUUGACGGGGUCAUAGCUG